GACGAACGCUGGCGGCGUGCUUAACACAUGCAAGUCGAACGGAAAGGCCCUGCUUUUGUGGGGUGCUCGAGUGGCGAACGGGUGAGUAACACGUGAGUAACCUGCCCUUGACUUUGGGAUAACUUCAGGAAACUGGGGCUAAUACCGGAUAGGAGCUCCUGCUGCAUGGUGGGGGUUGGAAAGUUUCGGCGGUUGGGGAUGGACUCGCGGCUUAUCAGCUUGUUGGUGGGGUAGUGGCUUACCAAGGCUUUGACGGGUAGCCGGCCUGAGAGGGUGACCGGCCACAUUGGGACUGAGAUACGGCCCAGACUCCUACGGGAGGCAGCAGUGGGGAAUAUUGCACAAUGGGCGGAAGCCUGAUGCAGCAACGCCGCGUGCGGGAUGACGGCCUUCGGGUUGUAAACCGCUUUCGCCUGUGACGAAGCGUGAGUGAAGGUAAUGGGUAAAGAAGCACCGGCUAACUACGUG
RNAcentral lists this ribosomal RNA (468 nucleotides) under uncultured bacterium. RNAcentral's name for it is "partial 16S ribosomal RNA". It matches the Rfam family "Bacterial small subunit ribosomal RNA", at positions 28 to 507 of the family's 1533-position model. The record is from RNAcentral.